Molecule: non-coding RNA, 193 nt
Filed under: Thermoanaerobacterium saccharolyticum
Lineage: Bacteria; Bacillati; Bacillota; Clostridia; Thermoanaerobacterales; Thermoanaerobacteraceae
Description: Lysine sequence
Rfam family: Lysine riboswitch aptamer
About the family: Riboswitches are metabolite binding domains within certain messenger RNAs that serve as precision sensors for their corresponding targets. Allosteric rearrangement of mRNA structure is mediated by ligand binding, and this results in modulation of gene expression.
Source: RNAcentral
AGGUGAGGUAGAGGAGCGGAGCAUCAAGAGUAACAUGCAAUAGGUUUUAAGGAACCGAUGAUUGCAUGUGAAAGGGAUAAAUCCGCCGAAGCGUGUAGAUACCUUAAUAUCUACAUAGCUGGGCCUAUGCAUAAGAUGUAUAGGACUGUCACAAGUAGUUAACCCGGACUAUUUGUGAUGAGCUAUCUCGCUA